AGUCGACGGAAGGCCCAGCUUGCUGGGUACUCGAGUGGCGAACGGGUGAGUAACACGUGGGUGAUCUGCCCUGCACUCUGGGAUAAGCCUGGGAAACUGGGUCUAAUACCGGAUAUGACCAACUGUCGCAUGGUGGUUGGUGGAAAGCUUUUGCGGUGUGGGAUGGGCCCGCGGCCUAUCAGCUUGUUGGUGGGGUAAUGGCCUACCAAGGCGACGACGGGUAGCCGACCUGAGAGGGUGAUCGGCCACACUGGGACUGAGACACGGCCCAGACUCCUACGGGAGGCAGCAGUGGGGAAUAUUGCACAAUGGGCGCAAGCCUGAUGCAGCGACGCCGCGUGAGGGAUGACGGCCUUCGGGUUGUAAACCUCUUUCACCAGGGACGAAGCGGAAGUGACGGUACCUGGAGAAGAAGCACCGGCCAACUACGUGCCAGCAGCCGCGGUAAUACGUAGGGUGCGAGCGUUGUCCGGAAUUACUGGGCGUAAAGAGCUCGUAGGCGGUUUGUCGCGUCGUCUGUGAAAUUCUGCAACUCAAUUGCAGGCGUGCAGGCGAUACGGGCAGACUUGAGUACUACAGGGGAGACUGGAAUUCCUGGUGUAGCGGUGAAAUGCGCAGAUAUCAGGAGGAANNNCGGUNNNGAAGGCGGGUCUCUGNNNNNNAACUGACGCUGAGGAGCGAAAGCGUGNNNNNCGA
Molecule: ribosomal RNA, 696 nt
Filed under: uncultured bacterium
Lineage: Bacteria
Description: partial 16S ribosomal RNA
Rfam family: Bacterial small subunit ribosomal RNA
Source: RNAcentral